Molecule: long non-coding RNA, 181 nt
Organism: Perognathus longimembris pacificus (Pacific pocket mouse)
Lineage: Eukaryota; Metazoa; Chordata; Mammalia; Rodentia; Heteromyidae
Exons: 3
Source: RefSeq, a predicted model, not a curated record
GCACGUGCCUGUAAUCCCAGCUACUCGGAUGGCUGAGCCCGGAGGAUCGCUUGAGUCCAGGGGUUCUGGGCUGCAGUGCGCUAUACCGAUCGUGUGUCCGCACUAAGUUCGGCAUCAAUAUGGUGACCUCCCGGGAGCGGAGGAACACCAGGUUGCCUAAGGAGGGGAUGGGAAGAACACA